AGAGGGAGACUAUAAUCCCUCAUAUAAGCU
RNAcentral lists this non-coding RNA (30 nucleotides) under Trypanosoma brucei brucei. Lineage: Eukaryota; Euglenozoa; Kinetoplastea; Trypanosomatida; Trypanosomatidae. The record is from RNAcentral.